RNAcentral lists this long non-coding RNA (310 nucleotides) under Medicago truncatula (barrel medic). RNAcentral's name for it is "lncRNA gene46305". Lineage: Eukaryota; Viridiplantae; Streptophyta; Magnoliopsida; Fabales; Fabaceae. The record is from RNAcentral.
CUUGCAUCGCCCUCUUCGUCCAUUGCAGUGGGCUUCUACUAUCCAGAGGUUUUUUUGCUGAGGUGGGCUGUCAUUAGUGACGUGGUGCUCAUGACACAAGUGAUGAUUGGCCGAGGUGGUUGACUUAAAUUGGUCUUUCAUCACUGCAAAUACAGGUCAUUUGAAUUUUCGUCCUUGAAUUUACUAAUCAGAUGUAAUUAUAACCAUUUUUCAAAUGAUUAAUAUUUGCAAUGGCAAAAUGGAAGGAUCAAUAACUUCAGAGACAAAAAUUCAAAUGUACUGUAUUUGCAGGGACGAAAGACCUAUUUAA